CUUGCUCCAGCAGGUUAGCGGCGGACGGGUGAGUAACACGUGGGCAACCUGCCUGUAAGACUGGGAUAACUCCGGGAAACCGGAGCUAAUACCGGAUAGUAUCUUGAACCGCAUGGUUCAAGUUGGAAAGACGGUUUCGGCUGUCACUUACAGAUGGGCCCGCGGCGCAUUAGCUAGUUGGUGAGGUAAUGGCUCACCAAGGCAACGAUGCGUAGCCGACCUGAGAGGGUGAUCGGCCACACUGGGACUGAGACACGGCCCAGACUCCUACGGGAGGCAGCAGUAGGGAAUCUUCCGCAAUGGACGAAAGUCUGACGGAGCAACGCCGCGUGAGUGAUGAAGGUUUUCGGAUCGUAAAACUCUGUUGUUAGGGAAGAACAAGUGCGAGAGUAACUGCUCGCACCUUGACGGUACCUAACCAGAAAGCCACGGCUAACUACGUGCCAGCAGCCGCGGUAAUACGUAGGUGGCAAGCGUUGUCCGGAAUUAUUGGGCGUAAAGCGCGCGCAGGCGGUUUCUUAAGUCUGAUGUGAAAGCCCCCGGCUCAACCGGGGAGGGUCAUUGGAAACUGGGAAACUUGAGUGCAGAAGAGGAGAGUGGAAUUCCACGUGUAGCGGUGA
RNAcentral lists this ribosomal RNA (620 nucleotides) under Metabacillus idriensis. RNAcentral's name for it is "bacterial SSU rRNA". It matches the Rfam family "Bacterial small subunit ribosomal RNA", at positions 74 to 684 of the family's 1533-position model. The record is from RNAcentral. Lineage: Bacteria; Bacillati; Bacillota; Bacilli; Caryophanales; Bacillaceae. RNAcentral also lists the same sequence under 1 other name.